This 752-nucleotide ribosomal RNA is filed under the name Staphylococcus sp. Aran1A. RNAcentral's name for it is "bacterial SSU rRNA". It matches the Rfam family "Bacterial small subunit ribosomal RNA", at positions 85 to 824 of the family's 1533-position model. The record is from RNAcentral. Lineage: Bacteria; Bacillati; Bacillota; Bacilli; Caryophanales; Staphylococcaceae.
UCUGAUGUUAGCGGCGGACGGGUGAGUAACACGUGGAUAACCUACCUAUAAGACUGGGAUAACUUCGGGAAACCGGAGCUAAUACCGGAUAAUAUUUUGAACCGCAUGGUUCAAAAGUGAAAGACGGUCUUGCUGUCACUUAUAGAUGGAUCCGCGCUGCAUUAGCUAGUUGGUAAGGUAACGGCUUACCAAGGCAACGAUGCAUAGCCGACCUGAGAGGGUGAUCGGCCACACUGGAACUGAGACACGGUCCAGACUCCUACGGGAGGCAGCAGUAGGGAAUCUUCCGCAAUGGGCGAAAGCCUGACGGAGCAACGCCGCGUGAGUGAUGAAGGUCUUCGGAUCGUAAAACUCUGUUAUUAGGGAAGAACAUAUGUGUAAGUAACUGUGCACAUCUUGACGGUACCUAAUCAGAAAGCCACGGCUAACUACGUGCCAGCAGCCGCGGUAAUACGUAGGUGGCAAGCGUUAUCCGGAAUUAUUGGGCGUAAAGCGCGCGUAGGCGGUUUUUUAAGUCUGAUGUGAAAGCCCACGGCUCAACCGUGGAGGGUCAUUGGAAACUGGAAAACUUGAGUGCAGAAGAGGAAAGUGGAAUUCCAUGUGUAGCGGUGAAAUGCGCAGAGAUAUGGAGGAACACCAGUGGCGAAGGCGACUUUCUGGUCUGUAACUGACGCUGAUGUGCGAAAGCGUGGGGAUCAAACAGGAUUAGAUACCCUGGUAGUCCACGCCGUAAACGAUGAGUGCUAAGUGUU